Long non-coding RNA from Rosa rugosa (rugosa rose), 413 nucleotides. RefSeq lists it as uncharacterized. The transcript is spliced from 3 exons. The record is from RefSeq and is a predicted model, not a curated record. Lineage: Eukaryota; Viridiplantae; Streptophyta; Magnoliopsida; Rosales; Rosaceae.
AGGUUUUCUGGAUUCUAUGCAAAAGAGUGUAUUCGUGAUUUUCGUGCCGCUGUUCCUCUGCAUAUUGUUUAUAGUUAUUUUAACGUUGUGUCCUUCUAUAGCUGUAUUACCUUAAGCUUAACACAGAGUGGCAGUGGUGUGGUUUCUUUGUUGUUGGUUUUCUUGCAAUUAAAUCAGUUUGAGCUUGAAGACUGUCUAUACUGAACAAGUUGGGCAGACGUUUGGAGAGUUAAACAUUGUGCUCUGAGGUAAAUAUAAUCAGUUAAAGGCUUCGAGGAAUCAGAUGAUAUGGAAGUACUUUCUAGAGCAAUUCAAUCAGGAACAGUUUAUGUCUUUUCACAAAAAUACUAUUGCAAUUGAUGUAAUAUAUGGUAUUUUAUCAGUUUGAUCGAUAAUAAAGUCAUUUUCAAUUA